AUGAACAAUCUUUUGACGGAUUCUUUUGAAAUGGACGAGAAGCCCCCAAAGGAGAGGGAUAUCGAGAUGGGGCGCCAGAACUCCAAGAACAAAUCAGAUUAUGGACUCGAAGACUUCUUCAAAGAGGUCAAAGAGAUCGAGAUGCUGCUGGACAAGAUGUCUAAUAUAGUUCAAAAACUUCAGGAAGCCAAUGAGGAGUCAAAAUCAGUCACUAAGGCCUCUGCAAUGAAAGCAAUCAAGGGACGCAUGGAGAAAGACAUCGAUGAAGUAGGGAAGAUCGCACGAAGCAUAAAAGUGAAGCUAGAGCAAAUGGACAGAAAUAAUCUUGCUAACAGGAAGAAGCCAGGUUGUGGGAAGGGCACAAGUGUAGAUCGAUCGAGGAUGUCGAUGACCAUUGCACUGAAGAAGAGGCUUAAAGAAAGAAUGAACGAUUUCCAGAAUUUGAGGCAAACUAUCCAGCAAGAGUAUCGAGAAGUUGUUGAGAGAAGGUUCUUCACAGUCACUGGAACAAAGCCUUCUGAUGAGGUGAUUGAUAACCUGAUUGAGACCGGAAGCAGCGAACAGAUCUUCGAGAAGGCAAUUCAAGGAAUUGGCCGAGGGCAGAUUAUGGCCACGGUUGAAGAAAUUCAGGAACGGCAUGAUGUAGUGGUGGAUAUUGAAAAAAAGCUUCUAGAAUUGCAACAGAUUUUUGCAGACAUGGCAGCGCUUGUCGAUGCACAAGGAGAGAUAUUGGAUAACAUAGAGAGCCAGGUUCAGAAUGCUGUAAACCACGUGCAAACUGGUACCGAAGCGUUGCGCAGCGCCAAGAGCCUGCAGAAGAAGUCAAGGAAGUGCAUGAUGAUCGCAAUUAUCUUGCUUCUCAUCAUCGCGGUGAUCAUUGUGCUUUCAGUUUUAAAGCCUUGGGCUAAGUAG
RNAcentral lists this ribosomal RNA (912 nucleotides) under Triticum aestivum (bread wheat). RNAcentral describes it as "partial small subunit ribosomal RNA". The record is from RNAcentral. Lineage: Eukaryota; Viridiplantae; Streptophyta; Magnoliopsida; Poales; Poaceae.